This 250-nucleotide ribosomal RNA is filed under the name uncultured bacterium. RNAcentral describes it as "partial 16S ribosomal RNA". It matches the Rfam family "Bacterial small subunit ribosomal RNA", at positions 356 to 623 of the family's 1533-position model. The record is from RNAcentral.
GGGGAAUCUUAGACAAUGGGGGAAACCCUGAUCCAGCAACGCCGCGUGGAUGAUGAAGGUCUUCGGAUUGUAAAGUCCUUUUGGCGGGGACGAUGAUGACGGUACCCGCAGAAUAAGCUCCGGCUAACUUCGUGCCAGCAGCCGCGGUAAUACGAAGGGAGCAAGCGUUGUUCGGAAUUACUGGGCGUAAAGAGCGCGUAGGCGGUUUGAUAAGUUGGGCGUGAAAUCCCUGGGCUUAACCCGGGAAUGG